ACAUGUACUGUUUUUACCUAUUUUAUAUCACCUUUUCCAUCUUCACUAGUUAAUUUUUUGUUCGUUUAUUUAUUUUUUUUUAAGUUUAGAUUUUUAUUUUAUCAAUUUAUUUAUUUGUUCGUUUGUUUACAAAACAGCUAUGGUGAAUUUGAGAGUGAUGAAAUCGGUGCUCUUCUAUUCUACAAUUUGGGAUUUUUCCCCAGCCGUCUCUAGUUGUCAAUACAAUGGAAACCAUCACAUGGACAAGAAGAGGCACCCACACCUCUGAGUGGCUGAAUACACAAGUCUCUAUUAGUACUGCAGACACUGAACGAGUGAAGUUCUCUGUGAACAGAGCAGCAGGAGGCAGCGGCUUCACAGCCAUCGAUGACCUCAGAGUGACUGCAGGACUUUGUGCUGAACACAACCCGUCCUUUGAGCCCGAUGUGACUGACAGCUUUAUCUGGCUGAAUGCCACAGAUGGCAUUCAGAGCAGAAGUCAGUGCAAACUCUGAGUCAUUUGUUCUUCUGGAUGAUGUCUCAGGUAAAAAUGGAGCGUGUUCCCCUAAAGGAAGUUGUGAUUUUGAGUCAGGAAUGUGUACAUGGGUCAAUGUUGCUAAUGGUGUCACAGAUGGACAUGAUUGAAUUCAUGCAGACGGUCACUACAGAGGUCCGUUGGUCGAUUACACUACUCACACUGCAGAUGGCAAGUUUGUUUUGAGCCCAUCUCAGAGGAACACGCCAGGCCAUAAAAGCAGUUCUGUGCUGAUUUCAGAAAAGAUCCAGCCAUCCAGUGACUCCUGUUUUGAGUUCUGGUACCAAAUGAAUGGAAGUGACCCUGGGAUCCUUAGAGUGCUAUUAGAUUCAGGUGCAACAGAGCAAGAAUUGUUGUUUGAAACACAGUUCACUGGGAGCAACUGGAAAAAUGUCUCUGUCACUAUAGCUGAGACCCAGCCCUUUCAGAUUCAUAUAGAGGCUCAAACAGGCAGUGAAGGUUACAUUGCUGUGGAUGACAUUAGACUAACAAACGGGCCAUGUAAAGACAUCAGUGUGGAAAGUGGAGUGUUUGUUGGCUGCAACUUCGAGACAGACACCUGUGAAUGGAGAGAUAUCAGUGUUGGGCAGUUUGUUUGGGAACGGGACCAGAAUGGUACAAUCACCGCCAACACUGGGCCAUCAGUUGACCACACUACUGGAACAGAGCUAGAUACCUCCAAGUUAUUGGUGUUAAUCUGGCAUCUGGCAGCUUUAAGGUGACUGAAACCCUGUGACAGGAGGUUGUCCAGAUAAAGGCCAAAGGGAUGACCCUUUCAGCCAUUGGAGGAGAAGUUGGUCAUUCCAAAUCUGUGAUUUCUCAAAUAUUGCAGGUUUGCAAUGACACUAAUUCAUUCAAGUCCCCCAAAAGGGCUGGUCAUUCACACAAGACAAAAGCACAAGAACACAGGAUAAUGCAGAGACUCAAUGGGGAAUUGGUUCAACACUGCAGCUGGAAUUGCUUGGUGACAAAGUUAUGGCUAAGAAACCCACUACAGUUACCAAACUAUGGACGAGAGUGGAAGAAGAGUGGAUCAACAACUCAUUCAAAGCAAGGGACUCUACACUUCCUACUAAUAUCUGACAGCUGUAACCCUCCACAAUUUUAAUUUAAUCUUCUUUUUUUCUACAGUGGUUUCUGUUCUCUAAUUUUGACCACUGUGUUUUUCACAAAAUAAAUGUUUUUGUUGAAAUGCCUUGGAUAUUUUGUCAAACAUGGUAGUAGAGCAGUGAUAGGCUAUACCUACAGCUGAUACUCCUUCAAAUUUUAAGCUCUUAAGAUUAAGUCUUUUAGAAAAAAAUCAAGCAUUUAUAGAUUGUUCUGUGUUUUUGAUCUCCACUGUAUAUUAUACAAAAACAGAAUAUUAUCAGUGUCACCUAAAUAUUAAACACAUACUUAUCUAUGGAGAAAAUCAUGGAAUAUUUUCUUCAAAAGCCUAUAUUUCUUUUCAACUGAAGAAAGAAAAACAUGAACAUCUUGGAUGACAUCUUGGGUUUCACUUCCACGUGGGUGCAGGAAGUGCAGGCAAUCUCAGCCUGAUUCUGCAGAAGGGGGAGGAGGACAGGAAGCUGCUCUGGUCACGAUCCAGCAGCACUUCAACUCACUUACCACUAGGCAAACAAGACCAGCCUUACAGG
Molecule: long non-coding RNA, 2151 nt
Organism: Labeo rohita (rohu)
Lineage: Eukaryota; Metazoa; Chordata; Actinopteri; Cypriniformes; Cyprinidae
Exons: 10
Source: RefSeq, a predicted model, not a curated record